AUACGGAGGGUGCAAGCGUUGUUCGGAAUCACUGGGCGUAAAGGGCGCGCAGGCGGUUUGGUAAGUCAGAUGUGAAAGCCCACGGCUCAACCGUGGAAGUGCAUUUGAAACUGCCAGACUUGAGUACUAGAGGGGAAAGUGGAAUUCCCGGUGUAGAGGUGAAAUUCGUAGAUAUCGGGAGGAAUACCGGUGGCGAAGGCGACUUUCUGGCUAGAUACUGACGCUGAGGCGCGAAAGCGUGGGGAGCAAACAGGAUUAGAAACCCUAGUAGUCC
Molecule: ribosomal RNA, 274 nt
Filed under: uncultured bacterium
Lineage: Bacteria
Description: partial 16S ribosomal RNA
Rfam family: Bacterial small subunit ribosomal RNA
Source: RNAcentral